ACACUCUCCGAUGAACAUCUACCAGUAAUUACUGCAACUUUAGAUGAGCUUCGACAAUUUAUUACUAUUGACAAUCAGUAAAAAGCUGACAAAUGAAGUUGUGAGCACCCAUCACUUAAUAUGAUAAUUGGGUGCUGAUUGGAAAGCAGGAUUAAAGAAUGGCGAUGAAUAUUCCGAUCUGGUUUGAAGUUUUUCAUUUGCUUGCACAUUCUUCUUUUUUGCCCCUUACUGGAUUGACAUUUCUCUAUCUUUUAUUGCUUCUCUUUUGUCCUUUAAAAGUGAAAAUUUGUUUAGCACUUUAAGGUCAUUCUAAAUUCUUGUAGUCCUCCAAUUUUAUCCAAUAUUUACCUCAAUGUCUCCACCAAUUUAUGAAGAAAAAAAAUCUAAAUUCUCCAUCACAUUUCCUAUAUUUAAUACUCUUCUCUUUUUUUUUGCUCAUUGUUUUAGGAAAAGAUACUUUCGGUCAGGAAUAACACCAUUAAAAGGAGAUUUUCAACUCAUAAUCAGCUUGACAAACAAUUCAAUUGAUUCAGAUAAUGAUUAUAUGAUGAUUUUCCAGCCGUAUCUUUCGAUUCUUGUUCUCUGUGUUGUAUAAUUUCCAAAACUAAAAAAGGGUUAGUUUCAAGUUUGAGAACUGACAGUUUUGGGUUUGUUGAGGCAGGAAUUAAGAGCUUUCUUAUCCAUGAAACAUGGUGAAGAAAUUUAGAAUGUUUGCUCAGUUUGCUAUGUAUAACAAAAUAUGUUUGCACCUGUAAGCAAGAUGUUGUAAACUAUUCUACCUUUUCAAAGUAUGAAAACUCGUUGAGAAUGAUUCUAAAUAGAACUUUUCUUUAAUCAUGAUAACCUUAAAUUUUGUUUUCUCCGUAUCUUUUUCACCCUCAAGUGUUAAAUAUCUAUGUUCUUAUACUAUGCAGCCGAUAACAACUUUAUUGUAAAAAUACUGGAGCAGCCAUCACUUUAAAGUCCUGGAUAAGCCAUGAGAUCUCUCGGCCAAACUAGGCAUUUUAUAUACAUAUUUUCUAGAAUUGAUCUAUUAUUUUCUAUUGGUCAAUUCCGUUAGUCCUAAGGAUACUAAAGGUUAAGAUUAGCUAGUCCUUUCAAAUUUAAUGUCUCUAGUUUUAAAACAUUUUCCCCAUAUCAAUUCAACUGAGUCAAUCGGCCUUUUCAUAGAGGUAUUGUAUGCCUUCUUUGUGGUGUCAAGAUUUUGACUUCAGACAAACGAGUUAUCGCAUAAAACUAAUGUCAAAUUCAGUUCCCAAAUUCAAAUUCAUGAACCUGUUCCAUAUUUCUGAUAGUGGUUCUAGCUUCUUGUUUUCUGUUGACGUUGCCCACCAAACCUAAAAAAGAAGAGGAUGGAUCUGGUCAAUCACUUCAAUAAAUAGAAUAAGCAAAUAUUCUUCAAACAGAGAUGCCCUCGGCCACCAGUCCAGUGACUAACUGCAAAUAAGCACUACAAAAUAUUGCUCCCCAACAUGCUAGAUGUUGAGAAUUUAAAUUCUCCUGACAGUUAACAAAUCAAAUUACAGUUAAAUUAGAAAAAUUAAGCAAGUUGCGUCGCGACUCUUAUUCUGAUUAUUACUUGUUCUAUGUAGCUUAAAAGAAGGCAAAAAAGAGCAGCAUACGCUAAAAGAAGGCAUAAAAGAGAAGCAUACGCACCUGUAGAGAGUACCAAAAGCUAAAUUGUCUCGAUCGCCACGAGAGUUAAAUACUAGUCUUUAAACAUUAGUAUUAGCUGAAAAAGAAGCCCAAGUUCGAACAUCACAUUUUCUAGAAGAAGAAAGUGUAUAG
RNAcentral lists this long non-coding RNA (1788 nucleotides) under Nicotiana tabacum (common tobacco). RNAcentral describes it as "long non-coding RNA (NTAB_LNC016506)". Lineage: Eukaryota; Viridiplantae; Streptophyta; Magnoliopsida; Solanales; Solanaceae. The record is from RNAcentral.